UCCCUGGUGGUCCAGUGGUUAGGACUCCGCACUCUCACUGCCGAGGGACCAGGUUCGAUCCCUGGUUGGGGAA
Delphinapterus leucas (beluga whale) is the source of this 73-nucleotide non-coding RNA. NCBI's taxonomy places the organism in Eukaryota, Metazoa, Chordata, Mammalia, Artiodactyla, Monodontidae. The record is from the annotation of a RefSeq genome assembly.